GCACGCGCGUGAGGGAUGUCGCGGGGGACAUCCUGAAGUUCUUGAAAAAGAAGAAACCUGAAGAUGCCUUCUGUGUUGUGGGAAUAACAAUGAUUGAUCUUUACCCAAGAGACUUGUGGAAUUUUGUCUUUGGACAGGCCUCUUUGACAGAUGGUAUUCCGUUUUUGGCAUUGUUGUUAGAAGCUUCUUCAACUUGAGAAUAUUUGAAGAUGUUAAAAGAGGGAAAAAAAUUCCAACCAAGAAUCAUAUUGAUAUUUAAAACUAUAGUAUUUUCAGUUGAGACAUUAUGCCAUAAUGGGAAGUGUGCUGUUGGUAGAUUGUGAUAAUCUAGGUUCUGGUUGGCCACUCACUACCUACAGGACCUUAAAGGCACUGGUGAGGUGGAUUGAUGAUGAAUCUUCUGGCACACCUGGAGCAACUCCAGAACACAGUCGUGAGGAUAAUGGGAAUUUACUGAAACCCGUGGAAGGAAGCCUUUAAGGAAUGGAAAGAGUGGAUAAUAAAAUGCCUGACUGUUCUCCAAAAAUAAGGACCUUCAAAUAGGAGUGAUUGAAAUAAAUGACUACUUGCAUGUUAUGCUUUCAUUUGGGUGGAAUACUUCAUCAGAAUAAACUAUUGAUCUUGUGCUGUGUCAAAGUAACAGACUAGAACCUUCUUUCAAGUACCUGAAUUGAAAUGAAACUCAUUUUGAAUAAUAAAAACUCUAGAAACUCUU
Long non-coding RNA from Homo sapiens (human), 715 nucleotides. Ensembl annotates it as AMZ2 pseudogene 1. Its record names the gene AMZ2P1. Lineage: Eukaryota; Metazoa; Chordata; Mammalia; Primates; Hominidae. The record is from Ensembl.